AAAAAUAUGAGCCAAAAUAUUGGAGAAGAUAUAUAUGAAGGGAGACAUGGCGCACAGAGAAUUAGACAUAACUUAUACCACCACUCCCCACCACAACAGUCAUUGGCUUGGCACGAAGGCGCGUCACGCCGGUGUCGCCUCCGUCGCGUUAUUGGCGGUUCUGGCGGUUCUGGCGUGAAGCAAGAGUCACAGAUUCUGGCGUGAAGCAAGAAUCACGGAUUCUGGCGUAGGACUUUGAAAACUUUUAGGUGGAAGAGAGGAUGAAGAUAAUAAAGAAAACUCGCUGCAAGAUUCUUCUAUGGCUUCUCCGAGGGAGAGUCUUUCUCCAACGUUUUCGAUCGUGUUUCCGGUAACCUCUCUCUCUCCUUUAUCAUUGUUCUCAUUAUCCUUCAUUUUUAUUUAAUUUAAUUGAUUGAUACUUUACACAAUUGCGACAAACUACCACCAACACGUGACUCCGGUGCCAACACCCAACCACAACAACCACCUCCAUGAACAACCGCCAUACACUCUCCGACCAAGAAAACACCAUCCACCACCACAAACACCGUCGUAACACUACUAACGCAACCCACACCGCAUGAUGAAAACGCAGGAUGAUGCAAAACCAGAAUAAAUCGGAAGAAAGCACAAAAACAAAUUCACCGACAAGACGCAACUGAGAGGCAGAAUGGACCGUGAGAGAGUAAGAAGAGAAGGAGAAGAAAGUAAAGAGUUUCAUCCUAAUCUUGAGUCAGGUUUGCAAAGAAAAAUUUGGCCUUGAAAAUAUUAUUAUGAAAUAUGUCCAAAUAAAUAUUUUUAUGAAAUGUUUGGGAUUAAUAUUUGGUAUUAUGCUAUGAAAGUUGCCUAGGAAAACAGGGAUAAUAUUAAAUUACUAAUGGGAUGAAUUAACUUAUUUGAUGAAUGGUAAACAAAUUUGGGAAAUUGUGUCCUUAUUUUAGUCUUUGUGUAUGAGAGAUUCAGAUGAUGAAUGGCACAUUGAAAUUCUUAUUAAAAAGGACAAAUUGAAAAAGAAGAUGCAAAUUUUACCAAGAAUAAGAAGAUGAAAAUUUUAAUAAGAGUGUUGUUAAUAAAGAUAUUCUUUUAUCUCAAAGAAUUAGGUAUUGUUCAUUUUAUUGAUCUUUAUAAAGAUAAGUAUACGUGAAUAUUCUACUUACACUAUUUGUUAUUAUAUAUGUGAAUAUAGUUUCUAAUGAUAAAAUUAGUAAUUUAUCUAUCAAAUUAAAAUUGCAAAUAUGAAGCAAUUCUAACAAAAUAUACCAUGUUUUUAUUUUAGAAUUUAAAAACAAUAAUAAUUUGGUGUAUAUUUGCUUUAUAUUUAUAUUGCAUGAUAAAAUUAAUUCAUAUUUCAUGAAACUAGAAUUCCAUGACUGGGACAUGAGCAUAUGGAACUUAUUGCAAUUCAGAGACCUCCUCCGUGUUAGCAAGGAUAUCUUGCAAAGUGAAAAAAUCUUCAUGUUGAUGAAAACAUGAAAAAACUAUUAUUUAUGUAUUAUCUUUUUGUAACUAAUUUUUCAUGUUUUCAUCAACAUGAUAAUUUUUCCUACACACACUGCAUUGCAAUCAAUUCCAGAUGCUUAAUGAAUAUCAAUUGACCUCAUCCAUGCAAUAUAAGUAUAUAAGCAAAUAUACACUAGUUAAAGACAAUGUUGUGAAUAUUUGUGCGGUAAUGAUGGACACUACCAAAAGUGUAAUUGUGUUUAAUGAUGCAUAUAUUAAUGGUAGUGUCCACCAUAACCUUUUUGAUAUCAACACAAACAUUUAUCAACAUAAAACAUUCACACAUUUAUGCUUUAUUCUACCAUUUUAUUUUAUUUCAAUUUUAUCCUUAUACUUAUGUUUUAUUUUUUAUUUUAUUUUUUAAAAUAUAUGAGAGGAGAUAUUUGUCAUUUUGUGACUUAUUUAUUUUUAAAAACUAAAUUUUGAAUUAUGGAGUAAUUGUAAACAUAAUUCAAAACUUUAACCGUCUUGAAUUUCAUUUUGUUAUCUUUUUAUCAUCUCUUUCAACUUCAAAAUCUAAGCAAGAGCGUCUUGAAUUUCAUUUUUUUAUCUUUUUAUCAUCUCUUUCAACUUCAAAAUCUAAGCGAGAGUCACUCAUAUUUUGAGUUAUUGAACCAAACAUUUCCCUUCAAACCUCAUUCUUCUUCAAUGGUUUAGGAAAACUACUUAUGCCAUCCAAGAACCUCUCUUUGCAAAGUCAUUCAAAAUUCAAAAUUAAAAUUUGAAAAUUCACAAUUUUAAAAUAAAAUUUAAAAUUUAGUUUUUAAAAAUAAAGAAGUCACAAAAUUAUAAAUAUCUCCUCUUAUAUAUUUUUAAAAUAAUAAAAUAAAACAUAAGUAUGGGGAUAAAAUUGAAAUAAAAUAAAAUAAUAAUUAAGAGAGAAAUUCCCUUUAUUUAUUUAUUUAUAUAUAUAUAUAUAUACUUUGAAUUAGUUCGACAAAACGUUUAAAUUUUUAUAUGGGAGUUUAUGGUGUCAUAAAUGAUUCAUCAUAAAAAUAAUGGUCAAUUAAUAACUAAAUCAUAAUAAGUAGUCUCAUUGAAGGUCUUUAUGUGAAGAGUUUAAAUAUACAAAUUGUCUAAAAAAAAUUACUAUCGUCUUAUUAUUAUAUUCAUAUUUUAUACAUAUAUUAAUAUACUAAUAUAUUUAGUGUUACUUAUUUAAGCAUUCAAGAGUCUUCACUCUUAAACUCUUCCUCUUUAUUGUGAUAAGUUAAAGUUGGUUAGUAAAAUCAUUUCUAUCUCAAGAUAUUUCGAGUUAUUUUCUUAAGAACAAUGCAUAUUAAUUCAUUUUUAAAAAUUAAAACUUUAUAAUUAUUAAUAUUUAACCUUUUUUUUUAAAUAGUAAGUUGAUUGCAAGGUCGUGUAGAUAAAUUUAUUUUUAAAAUAUAAAUUAUAUUUCUAAAAUUAUACUUUCUUUCUCUAUAUUUAUUAACAUUUGUUUUUAUAUUUAAUUGUAUUAUAUCUAUAACUUUGAAAACAAGGUAACAAAAAUGUAAAUAUGUAUAUAGUACUUAAUGAUAAAAUUAGUAAUAUAUCUAUCAAAUUAAAAUUGCAAAUAUGAAGUAAUUUUUUUUAAAAAUAUUUAUUUUAGAAUUUAAAAAUAGUAAUAAUUUGUUGUAUAUUUACUUUAUAUUUAUAUUAAAUGAUGAGACAAAUUCAUAUUUCAUGAAACUAGAAUUUUAUCACUGAGAUAUCUGCAUCUGAAAUUGAUUGCAAUUUAGAGACCUCCUCCAUGUUAGCUAGGAUAUGCAAAGUGUAGAAAAAAUCCUCAUGUCGAUGAAAACAUGAAAAAUAUUUCUACCCAUUGUAUUAUAUCCUACCUAUCAUGGAGAUGGUCUCUGCAUUGCAUUGUAAUCAAUUCCAGAUGCUUAUGUCUCAGUUAUGAAAUUUAAGUUUAAUGAAAAUAAAUUCACCCCAUCCAUGCAAUAUAAGUUUAUAAGCAAAUAUACACUAGAUAAAGAUAAUGUUGUGAUUUUCUUCACUAGCGUUCUUUCAACCAAUGCGAGUGAUUGAUCAUCUUUCUAAGUGUUUCUUUCUUUACAAAAUUUGUUACCUACGAAAGAAUGUCACACAAAACACACACACACACACACACACACAUAUAUAUAUAUAUAUAUAUAUAUAUGCAAUAUACAUAUAUUGGUAAUGACCUGUUUGUGUAGAUAAAUGUGUGAAUGUUUUAUGUUGAUAAAUGUUUGUGUUGAUAUCUUCAAGGUUAUGGUGGGCACUACCAUUAAUAUAUGCAACAUUGUUGCGGUUUUCUUCACGAUUUGAAAGAGGUGCAAGAGUGCAUCUCUAUCCGUAUUCUUUAUUUUUUAUUUUUAAUAUUUAUCUAUAUUAUUAUUAUGUAUUUAAUAUUUUAUUUCUAUCCUUAUUGUGUAUUCUCAUUUUUUUUAAUUAAUGUUAUUAUUAUUAUUAUGAUAUAGAAAACUAGCCGUAUGUUAAUGUUAGUGUGAAUGAAAUUAAGAUUGGAUUUAGGUUUCGCAAUAACUUGUUCAGGUUUUUAAUAUUUUAAUAAAUAAUUAAUUUUAAUCAUUAGUUAGAUUUUAAAAAAUAGUAGAGAGAGUUACUCAACGGUGUAAAUAUAUAAACUACGACAUGAAUAUAAAUAAACUGGGUCAAUUUAGUGUUAUCCUUUAUCAGGCAAAUUCUUCCUCCACCAUAUUAAUGUGAAUUUGCACAUAUUAAGAGUUACACCUGUUUUAUUAGUGAAAUGAUAAAAAUGUUUCUUGAAAUAGUAAAAAUAAUCUUAAAUAAAAGGACGUUAUAGAUAAAAAAAUAAAUUCAAAAUUUAAAAUUUAAUUUUUAAAAAUAAAGAUGACACAAAAAGAUAAAUAUUUUCUCUCAUAUAUUUUUAAAAUAAUAAAAUAAAACAUAAGUGUAAGAAUAAAAUUGGAAUAAAAUAAAAUCGCAGUUAAGAGGAGAAUCCCUUUAUAGAGUUUGGAUUUUAGGUUUGAAUGUGAUUUAAUAAUAUAUAUAUAUAUAUAUAUAUAUAAUAUCUAAUGAAAACCUACCUCUGAUGAAAAUUAGGAAUCAAGAGCAAUAGAGUUCCGCAUCAAAAAGUUGUGUGACAAUAACGGAAUUGUGAAGAGAUAGAUUGAGAUAGAAGGAUCUCUCAUGGAUCAAGAUAAAUGUCUAUUUUAUUAUAACUGUAUGAACAUGAAUAUGAGAAUCAUAGAUUGACAAGAUCUAUAUAUGAACA
RNAcentral lists this long non-coding RNA (4702 nucleotides) under Phaseolus vulgaris (common bean). RNAcentral's name for it is "long non-coding RNA (PVUL_LNC004717)". Lineage: Eukaryota; Viridiplantae; Streptophyta; Magnoliopsida; Fabales; Fabaceae. The record is from RNAcentral.